AAGAAAGUGAAUUUUCACUUUAUAUAUAGUUUAUUGUUGCAAUAAUAUAGACUACAAGAAAUUAGCUUAUUAAGUAAAAUCUACCUUUAUUCUUAAUUUUACUGUACUUGUUUCUCUCUGAAACCUUCUAAUCAGGUCCUCUGUGGGACAGCACAGAAUAUUAGGAAAGAAUUAUUUAACAGUUUUCUUUAUAUUUAAAAACAAAUCUUAGGGAUUUUUAAAAAAAUCUAAUGGGAAAGUGGAGUUCUGCUAGUUUUAAUUUUUUUCUUUUGAAAAAGAGUUCAUUCCAUAUAGAUUGCUCAACCAAUAAAAAUUGCUAGACAACAGAAAUUCCCAUCUUUUUUUUCCUCUUAUUAUAUCACAAAAUGAACUUUUCUGCAACAAAUUAUGGGUACUUUUGAAUGUAAUAUAGAGACAUAUUUUCCACAGUAUCAAACUAAUUAAGAUCUUAUAGACACAAUUUAAAACAUUCUACCUUUAGUUCUCAUUCUUCUAUAAAUAAGCACACAGUUAUAAAAGUUAUAUUUUACAUUACUUUCUUUCAAAGUGAAUUUGUUUAAGUCAAUUUCUACAAAGGUAGGGCCAAGAGAAAAAGUGAUGUUUUUAAGUAGAUCAUUUUAGAAUGAAAACUCGCAAGACUUGAAGAUUUAAUAUUUUGGUAUUAAAUUCUGGUUUGUUCACCCUGUAUGUAAUUUAGAGCAAGCUACUUACAUCAGUUUCCUCAAUUAAAAUGGGGGUAAUAAUACUUAAUUCUUUAGGUUUUUGUAAGGGUCAGAGACAUCUACUGAACUGAGAGUUUCUUAAAAGUUGGCAUCACAUUUUACUCAUCUUAUUCUUUUUCCUUCUAUGUUUAUUAAUCAUGGUUCCUUAGUCAACUCUUCUGUAAAGUAUGACUAGGUUGUUAGGGACUAAAAUAUUAAUUUUGAUGUACCUUUCCUCUGAAGUCUUCUAAGCACAUCUGUUGUGAUUUUACCAAUUUACUGUUUGCCUACUAGACAUAAUGAAAGUUCGUAUAAGCAUAUGACCUAAUAUUCAAGUUAGUGACUCUUGUUAGUGAAGAUGUUCUAAAUCUGCAUCUAUUUUCCAAUUACUUGUCUAACUUCACAUUCUACCACUCUGCUCUGUGCGCAUUCUGCUACAGACAGAUAGGCCUUCCUGGUGUGUCCCUGGGCUAUUGCACCUGCUGUCUUGAAUACCGUUUUCCUAAAUACCCACAUGGUUUGCUCCUUUAAUACCUCCUCUUCAGCGCAGGUCUCGUCAGUGGGGCCUGCUCUUACACCCUUGCAUGCUGUAUAUCCUAUUUGCCCUAUUGAUGUUUUUCCAUAGUAUUGUUACUGAGAAAAGAGUCACAUAAUUUAUUUGUCUUUAUUUUGUUUGCUUGCUUAUUAUCUGUCUUCUUUCACUAGAAUGAAGCUUUGUUAGGCUAGGCCCUUUGUUUUGUUCAUGUAGUCGAUACUCAAUAAAUAUUUGCUCAAAGAAAGGUUAAAUGAUUGAACAAAUGACUUAUUGCACAUAGAGAGGAUUUCAAAAUACUUCCUUGUAUUCUCCACAUCAAGAGAGGACUCACUAACACAGUUCUAGGGCAGAAUGUAAAUACUUUCAUGUUCAGUACCUCUUUCUAUUUCUUAUUGUUACAGCUGUCUUUUCCAUUACAUUAUAAAGUCUUUGGGAGUUGGUGAUCAUGUUUAUUUAUUUCUCUAUCAUUCUUUGAGCACCAGGCUUGGCACAUAGUAGGCUCUCAUACAUUCAUUAAAAAAACGAGACUGGUACCAUCUAGCUUUUGUAGUUGUCCAAGGACUGUGAUAUUAAAUUUGAUAUAGUUUUGCUAUAUAUAUAGCUAUAACCAUAAAAAGAUAGUUAAAACAAAUAUAUAUACUAUAUAUAGCAUAACUAUAUUUAUAAAUAUGUAGUAUAACUAUAUAUAGCAUAACUAUAUAUGGUUAUAGAUAUAUAGCAUAACUGUCAAAUUUAUAUAUCAUAUAUAAUCUUUUACAUAUAACUUUAAGAUCAUUAAAGAUUGUUAUCUCCACCUUAAAGAUUUACUGAUGAGAUAUUAUGAUGUUAGAUUCACUAUGCACUAAUAUAAGGGUAAGUUUAUCAAAAUAACUAUGUGGAUAUUGGUGAGUUGAGACCACAAGAUAAAUGGAAUCAAUUGAUAGCAACCUUUAAUGAAUCUUUUAUAUACAUUAAACUAUAAAAUUUAUAUAUAUCAUAUAUAUACACAUUUGAUAUAUAUCAUAUAUUUCUUCAAGGAUUAAAAAAUUCAGUCAGGUAUUUAGAGUGUUUCUUUUCUUGCUCAUAGAGAUAUCUAAAUAACAUUUAAUUUCAACUCCCUAGCCCCAGGCACUAUUAAGAUAGACUUCUAACUUUCCUGCAGAAGAAAAGCUUCUGAAUUAUGUUAGCAUUAAAAAGUCAGUGGGGUCUGUGGUUAGCUUUCUUUAAAAGGCAAUUCUGGGAGGAAAAAAUUUCUGAUUAGCCAUUUUGAGCCCCACUUUCUGGAGUGAGAUUCUGUGAAGUGUUUCAAUAUUAGGUUCAUUUUUGUAAACCUAUGCACACUAGCUCUUUCACAGAACCAGAAUGAUUUUCCUGGAUCAAAGAUUUGCUUAAAAGUCAUUCUUUCAUUAAUGGUGAAGUGUCGAUUUUGUUACAAUGAAAUUCUAAGAACUCCCUGUAGAAAUUAAUAGAUACGUUAAAAAAAUUCAAUGCAUUGUGCUUUCUAUAUAAAGGCGAUGCUUUGGAUCCUGCCUAAAUGUCUUUGGCACUUUGAGCUGUUUUCCCAACAAUACUAUUGGAACCAUAUGUGAAAGAUGACUGCCUGGGGUUGUGGGUAUAGGCUCUGGUCUUCCUAAAGAGUAGAUAUAUGUUUGAAUUUAAUAGCUAAAAGCUGGAUGCAUGCCUGGAGACAGUCAGGAAAACUGCUUUUUGUUGGUGUGAAAUGAAUUAGACAUCAGCAUGUCUGGGUCUUCCCCCCAAAUCUUGCCACUUUCUAGUUAUGCCUGUCAUUUAUCCUCUCUGGAUCUCAUCUCUAUAAAAAGUAUUUCAGAAAUACUGAGAUCCUAAACAUUUAAACAACCUUAGUGUUUUUCUGCUUUCUGACUUUCCACCCCACUCUAUCAAUCAUAUCCAUAAAUCUCCAACUUUCAAUAUGCCCUACCUAGAAGAUUAUAAAUAAUGGUUUUUAAUGGUGAAAGUAAUUACCUUAAGAGUAGGCACAUAGUGUCUCAUAAUGUAUAUGUCAAUUUACUGAAAGUGACCAUUUAUUUGACUUAUUUACUUUUACUCUAAAGAGUGGCUGGAUAAUAACCUGUUGGAUCAUGCAGCAAAGAGCAACUGUAACCGGAUCCUCUUCUUGUUGACAGAAGGUCGACGUGGCUGUCUUCGCUGUGUUGACUGACAUCUCUGUUCUGAGUAAUAAUUAGGUAUCUUUAUACCUUUGCUUGCUUCACCAGGAAUAUCUAUUGUUGACCGAGGCAGCAGAAGUGGAGGCCACACCUGAAGGAUGCGGACAUGUUUCCAGUGACAUUAUCUGGAGUAUUAAUGAUUUUACCAUUUGUUCCUCAUCAUUUGCAACAAUUUUUAUUUUUUUCUUUAAAAGGAGAAUGAGCAAGUCAAAGACCACAUUAUUUAUUCAGUCUUGGAUUUUUGUUUCUUUCUAGACAGUCAAGUGAGUUUAGUCUUGAGUCUAUGGCCAUCUUAGAUGGUUUGUGCACAAAGUCUUUGAGUGAAUUCAAUUUUCAGAAAGACAAAAUGCAGUUUGGGAUCUACUUCAUGUCUUAAGACAAUUGAUUCAAUUUAUCUCCUGGCCCCAGUCCACCAAAUCCACAUAGUUAUUUUGGUAAACUUACCCUUAUAAUAGUGCAUAGAGAACUUAAUACCAUAAUAUCUCAUCAGUAAAUCUCUAAGGUGGAGAUAACAACCUUUAAUGAUCCAUUAAACAUUCCUGAUACGAGAUGAAUCAGGAAUGUGAUACCAAGCUGCACUCACUCAUGCAAGCCAGAAACCUGGUGAUCACCUUGACACCUUUCUUUCUCUUCCUUACUCCCUACAGCUAAAUAGUCCCCAAGUCCUAUUGACUUCAUCUCUUACUCAUACCCUGAAGUGAUUAUCUCCAUCUCCAUGGCAACUAUUACUUUCAUUAUUUGGGUCUUUAUUUUGUCUGGCCUUGCAGUAGACAUCUAACUAACCCUGGUCUCUUAGUCUCAAUGUCCUUUCAAUUAAUCUUCCAAACCAAAUUAGAAACCAAACUGUCUAAAUGCUGUCAUGCUGUUUGAAGUCCCUAAAUAGAUUGUUAUCAUUGUUAUCACCACAGAGAAUAGUGCUUGGCACCUAAUAAGUACUCAAUAUGUAUUCUUUAAAUGAAGGAAAGAAUAAAUUAUUUAAGAAAAAGCCCAGGAUCCUUAGCAUGAUCAAUAAGGCCCAUCUCUAUUUUAUGAAUUCUGCUGAUGAUGUGCAGGAGGUUUUGUGAUAAUUUACAACAAAUAUAUUUACUUCAGUGGUUAUAUAUUUAAUUUAUAUGACUUGCUAUUGUUGAUUUUCUAUAUGCAGAAAUGAUAUAAAAUAUACUUCUGACAUAAACGUAUUAAGCUAUAACAGCAAGUUUUUUUUAAAGACAGAACAUUGAAUAGGGGCAGAAAUAAAUCUAAAGCCAUCACAAAGCCAGCAUAAUGAUCACAGACUGUCCACUGAGCUGUAAUUAUUUGCUUACACAUUUGUUUCUCCUCUUAGUCUAUCAGUUCCUCUAGUGAAGUAAUAGUCCUUUCACAAUGCUGGCCAUGAGCUAAAAUUAAAAUGUUUUAGGGGUGAAUAAAGUCAGAAAUAUUCGGUUUGGAUAUUGCCCAGAUAAGGGUCUGGGUUAAUUUUCAUUGCUAAGAUGGUGUUUAGUCAACAUGGCAAUAACAGUGAAGACAUCUUUAAUACUCAACAUUUGAAAUACAUCAGGGAGUAUUUAGACAAGCAUUUUGGACACUGGUUCAAAACAAGUUUUUUUUAAGGCAAUGGCUACAUCAUAUGAAAAAAGUUUCAGUAAAAAGUGAAAAAUUCAGUCAAGUUUUUGAAUGGUCAACUUUCUCAGCACCAAACAUUCAACUCAUAGAAACCAUUUAGAAGACUGAAUCUUAAACUUACUUCAUAGCCUUCCUCUUCUUAUCUCUACUUGUGAAAAGCAUGUAUAGUUGUUUCUUUACAACUAAAAAUGUGUCCUCUGAAAUAACUAUUAGAUUAAAAACUAAUGCAUGCAAUGCACAUUAAGUGGUUUUAUUUAUGGAUGUAUGACUACCUUUUUCCCUUCUCCAAAUUCAUAUAGACUUAUGGAGCACAAGAGCUCAAGGGACCUUGGUAAUAUUCUGACUUUCUCAUUCAGUGAAUAAAAACACCGAAGCUGAGAGAAGUUAACUUGCCUUGGUCUUAAGGCCAGAUUAAGGCAGAGUAGGGACUAGGAGCCAGGUCUCCUGGCAUUCAGACUAGAAUGUAUCACUCUAGGGAAGGCUGCUGCUCUUUCCUUCAGCAUUCCUUCCUCUCUGUUCCUGUAACCCCUAUGCCUGAACUGACCUCCCUUAAGUGGGUAGUCUUUAAAUUGUUUGCAUUAUUAAAUGAACUGAACCAAGGCAGGAAUGCACAUCCUGAACAUUUUUUCCCCUUAAUGGUCCAUUUUUGUAAACAGAUAUUCCCCAGAAUUUCUUCAGAAGAUCACCAUGCUGUAUGAUGGCACACUACUAUAAUAUUCUCCUAGAGCAGAAUUUACCAAAAAGUAGAUCUUUCUGGCACUCUUACCUAUAGGGGUUGAAUCAGUGAAUCAGUGGAGUAAGAAACAGACCUUUAUUGUUAAAAGAGGAUCUUAACAGGCAACUCCAUCAAUUUAUGAAAGAUACUAGGAGGAAGUCUAAUAUAGCUCUUCUUGUUUAGAAUAGAAGAAUUACUUUUUAAAAAGAGCCUCAAGUAAUUUAGAAAUGCAAUUCACUCUCAGAUCUGGUAGGAAAAGUGCCCACAGGAGUAUUCUAUGGUCUAGGUGAAGACACUUAAAAUUAAGUUUUCAUAAACAAUUUUAGAUGACUGAUUUACUAAUAACAAUAACAAUAUCACUGAAGUGGAUACAAGGCCCCAAAGGAGUUUUCGAGACGUGGAUGACAGUGUAUGUAUCUCGAACUGUCCCUAAGAAGGUAACUUGGACCAUGGUAGAGAAUUGGGUGCUUUACUGGGGGCCUAUUAAGCAGCUGCUCACGGCUUUCUUGGUUUACCCUGCUUUUCCAUCUGUUUUACCUGUCUCUAUUUCUGAAUAAUUUAUUUUGCCAUCUGCAUAAAUAGAACACCUGUCUGAAGGCUAACCCUUACAACUAAAUAAUUUAGAGAAAAUAACCUCUUUCAUCUUUAUUGGAAUAAUGUAAUGACUUUUGAGAACAAAGCCCUUAAAUAACUCUUGGGGACAUUUCUUGUGUUUUCACUAUUAUACUAACAGUUUAAAAAGUUAAUAUUAAUAUAUUUUUUAAAAUUAAAAUUUCCCACCUCCCAUUUUUUUUAAAGAUAUCGGUUAUAGCAGCUACUUUGGCUUUUAUAUGUUUCCUGCUAGUGUAUUUCGUCUGUCUUUAGAAGAACGAUUGCAGUUUGUAGAUGGUUAUAAUUUUUUAGACCCUAACUAUAAAAUCUGUUCAACUCUUGACUGCCUGUGAGAAAGGGCAAUAUUUUUAUGUUGUUGUAACAUGAGCUUUUAUAAGAAUUUACUUCAGUAAGUGCUUAUGCCCCUAUUAGCAAAUAGGCUUGGAUAUAUGUAAUAAACAUUUCAUCCUGGAUGAUGUCUGCUUUUGCUGAGGUUAUCUUGGUACAGAAAUUAUUUUAAAUGUUUUUUCACUGUGAAAGGACACUCAACUGUGGUGCAGAUUUGUGAAUUGAAGGUAAGCAGUUGAGUUGAGCUACAGAUCCAUUUAUUAAUAAUCUUAUGAACUCUCAGUCGUUGAAAUGUCAAUGAUUACCAGAAUGCUAAGGAACUUGUAUCAAAUAUCUAUUCAGCUGCUUACUAACUGUAUGAUCUUGGGUGAUUUACUUCAUUUCUCUGAGCCUCAGUUUCCUUAUCUGUAAAAUGGAGAUAAUAAGACUUACCCUUUAAGCUCUAGUGUAUAGCCCCAAGGUAUUCAAUAAAUGGUAACUUUAUGUAGUACUUAUUCAUAUUAAAGACUUAAAAGUGGGCACUUCUUAAUAUCUUGGAUAAAUAAAGAUUUAAAUAGCUUUUUAAAGUUAAUAAUUUUGAAAAAUUUCUAAUAUUUUUUACAUAAUUCCUCUUUUUUAUGUAGAGUAUACUGAACAUAACUUUAAUUGAAAAAUUACGGUCACCAGUGUAGUCAAUGUAAAUGGUAACUGUAUACUAUAUGCUAUGUACUAACUCUGUAGAACAGUUUAGUAAUUUCACAGGCUAGUUAAGGUAGAGGCUACUGUUUAUCCUACUUUUACUGGUGCUGGAUAAUUGUCCUUUUUGAAGUCAUAGAUCUGCUUUUCUUUUUUUUUUGAGAUGGAGUCACAUUCUGUCACCCAGGCUGGAGUGCAGUGGCGCGAUCUCGGCUCAUUGCAACCUCCGCCUCCUGGGUUCAAGCGAUUAUCCUGCCUCAGCCUCCUGAGUAGCUGGGAUUACAGGCACGCACCACUACACCUGGCUAAUUUUUGUAUUUUUAGUAGAGACGGGGUUUCCCAUAUUGGUCAGCCUGGUCUCGAACUCCUGACCUCGUGAUCCACCCCCCCUUGGCCUCCCAAAGUGCUGAGAUUACAGGCGUGAGCCACUGUGCCUGGCCUGCUUUUCUUAAUUUUAUAUCUUCUCCCUGGCUAACAGCUGUCAUUUCUUGCUACAGCUUCUGGGUUUGUUGGUAGCUGUUUCUUUUUUUUAUUUUUAUUUAUUUAUUUAUUUAUUUUUUAUUUUUUAUUUUAUUUUUUAUUUUUUUAAUUUUUUUAAUUUUUUUAAUUUUUUAAUUUUUAUUUUUUAUACUUUAAGUUUUAGGGUAC
This 7980-nucleotide long non-coding RNA is filed under the name Homo sapiens (human). RNAcentral's name for it is "HSALNT0065286". The record is from RNAcentral. Lineage: Eukaryota; Metazoa; Chordata; Mammalia; Primates; Hominidae.